AUUGAACGCUGGCGGCAGGCCUAACACAUGCAAGUCGAGCGGUAAGGCCCUUUCGGGGGUACACGAGCGGCGAACGGGUGAGUAACACGUGGGUGACCUGCCCUCAGCUCUGGGAUAAGCCUGGGAAACCGGGUCUAAUACUGGAUAUGACUCCAUGACGCAUGUUGUGGGGUGGAAAGCCUUGUGCGGCUGAGGAUGGGCCCGCGGCCUAUCAGCUUGUUGGUGGGGUGAUGGCCUACCAAGGCGA
RNAcentral lists this ribosomal RNA (247 nucleotides) under uncultured Actinomycetes bacterium. RNAcentral's name for it is "uncultured actinobacterium partial 16S ribosomal RNA". It matches the Rfam family "Bacterial small subunit ribosomal RNA", at positions 30 to 276 of the family's 1533-position model. Lineage: Bacteria; Bacillati; Actinomycetota; Actinomycetes. The record is from RNAcentral.